This 305-nucleotide ribosomal RNA is filed under the name uncultured bacterium. RNAcentral's name for it is "partial 16S ribosomal RNA". It matches the Rfam family "Bacterial small subunit ribosomal RNA", at positions 508 to 807 of the family's 1533-position model. The record is from RNAcentral.
ACAGCAGCCGCCGCGGUAAUACGGAGGGUGCAAGCGUUAUCCGGAUUUAUUGGGUUUAAAGGGUCCGUAGGCGGAUCUGUAAGUCAGUGGUGAAAUCUCACAGCUUAACUGUGAAACUGCCAUUGAUACUGCAGGUCUUGAGUAAAUUUGAAGUGGCUGGAAUAAGUAGUGUAGCGGUGAAAUGCAUAGAUAUUACUUAGAACACCAAUUGCGAAGGCAGGUCACUAAGAUUUAACUGACGCUGAUGGACGAAAGCGUGGGGAGCGAACAGGAUUAGAUACCCGCGUAGUCCCUGUCUCUUAUAC